AUCAAACAAUCAUUUAAAAGUACCUUGGAAAAGGAGUAAAAGGGAAUCCGGUGAGAAUCCGGAACAAUACCCGUUGCUGUAUGAGGGGAGCGUUCUCUGGUAAGCCCACUGUGCGGAUGCAUGGGAAGGGGGAGAAAGGCAAAGAUCCUUAAGUCAGAAUACCUGCUUUUAAAUGUGUCGGAAA
This 184-nucleotide non-coding RNA is filed under the name Ruminococcus sp. RNAcentral also lists the same sequence under 1 other name. Lineage: Bacteria; Bacillati; Bacillota; Clostridia; Eubacteriales; Oscillospiraceae. The record is from RNAcentral.